CACAGUUCUCUCAACGUCUCCCCCUUCCGAUGUCUCUUUGUCUUCACCCUCGUUCAUCUCGCAGCUGGCCGGUCCAGCCGAGCGGCGGAUGUGUGAGGGGAGUGAUUCAGAAGGUGACAGGAAGCCAGCAGCCUGCCUGCCAUCCUUGUGUGUUGGUGACAGCAGAGAGAGCAGGGAGCCAGAGAAGGAUGGGCCUCCCAGAGUGAGGGCAGCUGUCGGGCUCCUAGGCAGAAGACGCCCAGAGACAUGGAUCAUACCGAGCUGCUUGGGGCCGGAGCCUCCCUUCUGCUCCUUGGGGCUGUGGCGGGCAUGUGCGUGUGGUGUCCCCGCUUAGGCACGAGGAGGUCCAAGCAGAUCUUUUAUGAGCAGAGGGAUGAGGGACGGCAGAGUUUUGCAGUGGCCCGGACCUUUUCUAGAAGGACAAGUGGCUGUACUCCAUGGCUGAGGCAGAAGAUCCUGACAUCACCAGGUAUCAGAACCUCAGGAAAGGAAGCAGAAGAGAAUCAGAGCCCUCCUAUGUGUAAGCUGGUUUUUCCCUCUCAUGGGGUCUCCUUCAUGUUGGCUUUCCUUCUCAUUAUAUACAGGGGAUAGAAAAGUGGGGAGGGGGUGGGGACGUUCACCUGACAGAACCAGGCCAUUCGGACCCCUUUCUGAACUCUGGAGUGUUUAUGUCACAGGCUGGACGCUGCUGCCUGGCCUCUGAGCCCACCUCCUUCUCAAGGCCUCAAAAGAGGCUCCAAAUCUCAGACCCAAUGCCGGGAGGGGGGGGGGGAGAGAGAAGAGGAGGGGAGGUGGAGACUAAAACAGGGAAAUAAGCAAACACCCAGGCUCGGUACCGGGGAACAAGGAGGCCAUCCCUGGUAUAAUGGGGGACAGUCCUUGCCCUCCCAGAGGGCUUUUUAACACUGAGCCCUUAGAAAGUCUGCUGAAACCCGGGGACUACUCAGGAUCCUGCUUGUAAAGACUUAAAAUAAAAUUCAUAAGAUGCAAAACCAAUAUUGAGAUCCAGUGAUAGCUAUCUAUCCAUCCUGUCCAUGUACUCAUCUAUUAAGCAAUCCAUUCAUCUAUCAAUGCAUCUGCCCACCCAUCCAUCUUUUCAUCUAUCCACCCAUUUAUCCAUCUUGUCAAUCCAUCUAGCUAUUCAUCCAUCCUUCCAUAUCCAUCCAUUUAUCUAUUGAUCCGUACAUCCAUCUAUAUAACUUUCUAUCUAGUCAUCCAUUUCUCUGCCUAUUCAUCUAUCAAUCCAUCUAUCCAUCUAUCUACCCAUUUAUCCACGUAUUUGUAUAUCCAUCUUGUCUAUCCAUCUAUCCAUUCUUAUUUACUUCCUUCUUUCCUUUUUUCUUUUUCUUUCCUACUCUCCCUUCCCUUCCUCCCUUCCUCCCUUUCUUCCUUCCUUCCUUUCUUUCUUUUUUUCUUCCUUCUCUUUUUCUUUCUUCUCUUUCUUCUUUCUUUUCUUCCUUCCCUCCCUCCCUCUCUCCUUCCUUCCUUCCUUUCUACUUUUCAUUUCUUCUCUUACUCCAAGUUUACCCUGCUCUAGUCGGACUGGAGAGACCUCAGUUCUGAUGGAGACAUUGCCUGCCCUCAGGGACUAUAAGCUCAUCUAUCUAAAGCUGAAAGAGACCUCAGAGAGCAUCUAGUCCGAGCAAUUCAUUUUAUAGCUGAGGAAAUUGAGGCUUAAAGAUAGCAAAUGAAUUGCCCAAAGUCAUACAGGUAGCAAGCAGAAGAGAUGAGAUUCUGAUCUCUGUCCCUCUGAUUCCAAACCCAGCAUCCUUCCUGCUGGACCAAGUUUUCCUCAUUUGUAAAAAUAAGAUUAGACUAAAUUUAAUCCCUAAAGUCCCUUUAACUCUACAGCUACUCUACAACGUACAACUCUUUAAUUAUAAGAUUAUAUCUUCUGUUUACUUAGCUGUAAUUGGUAUAUCUUUUUGACCCUUCCUCCUCCCUCCCAUCUAUCGGAACAAAAGGUUUUGGUGGUUUGGGGGUUUGUUUCUUUUUUAGAAAAAGGGGGAGAGAAACCAAGUGAUGCAAAGAAAAAGCCUGACAGUAUCUGCAAUGUUCCAUCCAUGUGCCCUGUCCCUCCCCAAUCAUUCCCACCCCCAGUCUCUCUUCUUGGGGCCAACCUUGUUCUUUAGAAUUUGACCAAAACUUUAUUUUUAUGUCAUUGUCCUUUCCAUUUACUUGGUUUUGAUCAUUGUGUAUGUCAUUUCCCCUGGUUAUGGUCAUUGUGUAUUUCUUUCCCCCUGGUUAUGGUUAUUGUGUAUUUCUUUCCCCCAGGUUAUGGUCAUUGUGUAUUUCUUUCCCCCUGGUUAUGGUCAUUGUGUAUUUCUUUCCCCCUGGUUCUGGUCAUUGUGUAUGUCUUUCCCCCAGGUUAUGAUCAUUGUGUAUUUCUUUCCCCCUGGUUCUGGUCAUUGUGUAUUUCUUUCCCCCAGGUUAUGGUCAUUGUGUAUUUCUUUCCCCCUGGUUCUGGUCAUUGUGUAUUUCUUUCCCCGGUUAUGGUUAUUGUGUAUUUCUUUCCCCCAGGUUAUUGUCAUUGUGUAUGUUGUUUCCCCCUGGUUAUGGUCAUUGUGUAUUUCUUUCCCCCUGGUUCUGAUCAUUGUGUAUUUCUUUCCCCCUGGUUCUGAUCAUUGUGUAUUUCUUUCCCCCUGGUUCUGAUCAUUGUGUAUUUCUUUCCCCCAUAUGGUCAUUGUGUAUUUCUUUCCCCCUGGUUAUAGUCAUUGUGUAUUUCUUUCCCCCUGGUUAUGGUCAUUGUGUAUUUCUUUCCCCCUGGUUAUGGUCAUUGUGUAUUUCUUUCCCCGGAUAUGGUCAUUGUGUAUGUCGUACCCCCUGGCUCUCCUUCCUUCGUGGACAUCUGUCUGUCUUUCCAUUCUUUUCUAGCUUCUCUCUUCCCCUCCAAGGUUCCUUCCAUCUCUACAUCUGAUGAUUUUAUAACCUAAAUGGAGGGUGGGGCAGGUGGCUGUUGUCCACAGUAGCUCGCUGAGCCCAAAUAAGUCAGGAGAGAACAGCCCUGUUUUCAUGAAAUGUGGUCAGAAAUUGAAAAACAAAAUUUGAAGUUGCCCUUUGAGCUGAUGGAAAUUAUUGACAUCAUAAACAUUGUGGGAGGGAUGAGAGGGUGAGAAGCAAAAUAACCUUAAAUAGCAACAACAUUUAAACAAAAACAACUCGGAGGGGGAAAGGAAGCUCAGAAAGGCCGACCUUGACCUCCUGCCAGCCUCACACCUCAGCAGGAUGAGCCAUCUUGGAGGGGGGCAUCUCAUAUUUUUUUUCUCCUCCAGAGAUCCCAUUUCAACAGAUUAUUAUAACCUUGGGCAGCUCCCGAAGCAACUAAAAGGUAGGGAGGACUCCAGAUGUGGGUGUGAGCCAGAGAAGGGAGGAGGAAGGUGGCCACAGGACUCGGGAUGGUUAAAGUCGACCCUGACUCAUGUUGGGAUUUCAAAAGGCAAAAGGGAUGGGCAGGGAAAUUCCAGACAGGAGGCUGGGUGAAGCAAUCAAUCAAUCAAGCAUUUAUUAAGCACCGACUGUGUGCCAGACUACUGGGUUCUGAAGCUGUCAGGAGAAAGAAUAGAAUAACUUCCUAAAAAAAAGGAAAGUAAAAUUGCUACCCUAAUGAGGAAGACAAUGAGUACAUUUGAAAAAUAUGUACAAGGGGCGGCCAGGUGGCGCUACGGAUAGAGCACCAGCCCUGAAGUCAGGAGGUCUGGCUUCAAAUUUAACCUCAGACUCCAGCCGUGUGUCCCUGGGCAAGUCACUUAACCCCAAUUGCCACAAUUUUUUCCCUACAUGUCAUGAAUCCAUUUGGACUUC
Long non-coding RNA from Sarcophilus harrisii (Tasmanian devil), 3801 nucleotides. Lineage: Eukaryota; Metazoa; Chordata; Mammalia; Dasyuromorphia; Dasyuridae. The record is from Ensembl.